This 216-nucleotide long non-coding RNA is filed under the name Nicotiana benthamiana. RNAcentral describes it as "long non-coding RNA (NBEN_LNC025558)". Lineage: Eukaryota; Viridiplantae; Streptophyta; Magnoliopsida; Solanales; Solanaceae. The record is from RNAcentral.
CAGAACACCCUCAUAUUCAUACAGGGAUCAGGGAGAAGGGAAUCACAUAAGAGAGCAAGACUAAAUUAAAGGGAUUCAGUGGAAAGGGGGUGUACAAGAACUCAAACCACAUAAUGAACAAUAAACAACCAAGAGAAGAGACUGAACAUGCUGACUGAAAACUAACACAUAGGCAAAUAAGAAAAAAUGGAGAACUAAACAUGCUGCAACUGAAAU